RNAcentral lists this ribosomal RNA (490 nucleotides) under uncultured bacterium. RNAcentral's name for it is "partial 16S ribosomal RNA". It matches the Rfam family "Bacterial small subunit ribosomal RNA", at positions 30 to 507 of the family's 1533-position model. The record is from RNAcentral.
AUUGAACGCUGGCGGCAGGCCUAACACAUGCAAGUCGAACGGUAACAGGAAGAAGCUUGCUUCUUUGCUGACGAGUGGCGGACGGGUGAGUAAUGUCUGGGAAACUGUCCGAUGGAGGGGGAUAACUACUGGAAACGGUAGCUAAUACCGCAUAACGUCGCAAGACCAAAGAGGGGGACCUUUGGGCCUCUUGCCAUCGGAUGUGCCCAGAUGGGAUUAGCUAGUGGGGGGGGUAAAGGCUCACCUAGGCGACGAUCCCUAGCUGGUCUGAGAGGAUGACCAGCCACACUGGAACUGAGACACGGUCCAGACUCCUACGGGAGGCAGCAGUGGGGAAUAUUGCACAAUGGGCGCAAGCCUGAUGCAGCCAUGCCGCGUGUAUGAAGAAGGCCUUCGGGUUGUAAAGUACUUUCAGCGGGGAGGAAGGGAGUCAAGUUAAUACCUUUGCUCAUUGACGUUACCCGCAGAAGAAGCACCGGCUAACUCCGUG